Molecule: ribosomal RNA, 360 nt
Filed under: uncultured bacterium
Lineage: Bacteria
Description: partial 16S ribosomal RNA
Rfam family: Bacterial small subunit ribosomal RNA
Source: RNAcentral
AGGGAAUCUUCCACAAUGGACGCAAGUCUGAUGGAGCAACGCCGCGUGAGUGAAGAAGGCUUUCGGGUCGUAAAACUCUGUUAUUGAAGAAGAACGUGUGUGACAGUAACUGGUCAUGCAGUGACGGUAUUCAAUCAGAAAGUCACGGCUAACUACGUGCCAGCAGCCGCGGUAAUACGUAGGUGGCAAGCGUUGUCCGGAUUUAUUGGGCGUAAAGCGAGUGCAGGCGGUCUUUUAAGUCUGAUGUGAAAGCCUUCGGCUUAACCGAAGAAGGGCAUCGGAAACUGGGAGACUUGAGUGCAGAAGAGGAGAGUGGAACUCCAUGUGUAGCGGUGAAAUGCGUAGAUAUAUGGAAGAACA